GAUGAACGCUAGCGGCAGGCUUAAUACAUGCAAGUCGUGGGGCAGCGCAGUGUAGCAAUACAUGGGCGGCGACCGGCAAACGGGUGCGGAACACGUACGCAACCUUCCUUUAAGCGGGGAAUAGCUUUCGGAAACGAAAAUUAAUACCCCAUAAAACUGUGGUGUGGCAUCACACUACAAUUAAAGCUCCGGCACUUAAA
Molecule: ribosomal RNA, 200 nt
Filed under: uncultured bacterium
Lineage: Bacteria
Description: partial 16S ribosomal RNA
Rfam family: Bacterial small subunit ribosomal RNA
Source: RNAcentral